GGUUGACCUCGGAUCAGGUAGGAAUACCCGCU
This 32-nucleotide ribosomal RNA is filed under the name Phaeomoniella chlamydospora. Its description in RNAcentral is "partial 26S ribosomal RNA". RNAcentral also lists the same sequence under 1 other name. The record is from RNAcentral. Lineage: Eukaryota; Fungi; Ascomycota; Eurotiomycetes; Phaeomoniellales; Phaeomoniellaceae.